GUUCUCUGACUCAACACGCAAGAGAAAAACAUACAGGGUAAAUGUUGAGCGCUGGAGAAAAAGGAAGCCUUCCAAGAAAGGCAUCUAUGUGUCACCAAUAAAGAAGAGUUUCCCAUUCAGGACAACAAAAGUGGCUCCAGUCAAAGGACGCAAACCAGG
Molecule: long non-coding RNA, 159 nt
Organism: Perca fluviatilis (European perch)
Lineage: Eukaryota; Metazoa; Chordata; Actinopteri; Perciformes; Percidae
Exons: 3
Source: RefSeq, a predicted model, not a curated record